This 253-nucleotide ribosomal RNA is filed under the name uncultured bacterium. Its description in RNAcentral is "partial 16S ribosomal RNA". It matches the Rfam family "Bacterial small subunit ribosomal RNA", at positions 524 to 776 of the family's 1533-position model. The record is from RNAcentral.
UACGGAGGGUGCAAGCGUUAUCCGGAUUCACUGGGUUUAAAGGGUGUGUAGGCGGGUAUUUAAGUCAGUGGUGAAAUCUCCGGGCUCAACCCGGAAACUGCCAUUGAUACUAUUUAUCUUGAAUUCUGUUGAGGUAGGCGGAAUAUGUCAUGUAGCGGUGAAAUGCUUAGAUAUGACAUAGAACACCAAUUGCGAAGGCAGCUGGCUACACAAUUAUUGACACUGAGGCUCGAAAGCGUGGGGAUCAAACAGG